UCCCUGGUGGUCCAGUGGUUAAGACUUUGCACUCCCAAUGCAGGGGACACAGGUUCAAGCCCUGAUUGGGGAA
Molecule: transfer RNA, 73 nt
Filed under: Bos taurus (domestic cattle)
Lineage: Eukaryota; Metazoa; Chordata; Mammalia; Artiodactyla; Bovidae
Also listed under: 1 other name
Rfam family: tRNA
About the family: Transfer RNA (tRNA) molecules are approximately 80 nucleotides in length. Their secondary structure includes four short double-helical elements and three loops (D, anti-codon, and T loops).
Source: Rfam by way of RNAcentral